UACAGAGGGUGCGAGCGUUAAUCGGAAUUACUGGGCGUAAAGUGUGCGCAGGUGGCUGAGCAAGUCGAGUGUGAAAUCCCCGGGCUUAACUUGGGAAUUGCGCUCGAAACUACUUGGCUCGAGUGUGGCAGAGGAAGGUGGAAUUCCAGGUGUAGCGGUGAAAUGCGUAGAGAUCUGGAGGAACACCGAUGGCGAAGGCAGCCUUCUGGGCCAACACUGACGCUCGUGCACGAAAGCGUGGGGAGCAAACAGG
This 253-nucleotide ribosomal RNA is filed under the name uncultured bacterium. Its description in RNAcentral is "partial 16S ribosomal RNA". It matches the Rfam family "Bacterial small subunit ribosomal RNA", at positions 524 to 776 of the family's 1533-position model. The record is from RNAcentral.